UCUGCAACCAUAAAUUCUGUUUCAUUUAUUUAUUUAAAUAUAUUUCCUUUUUCUUUAAGAAAGAUUCUAGAAGUGGAAUUUCUGGCCCACGGAUGCAAUUGUGAGGACAUUUAUGAAGCUCCUGUCCAACACCAGUCCAGAAGGCUGGUCCCCAGAAGGCUCCCUGAGCAAGAGGGGGUCUGCCGCACAGCUCCUGGCAGGCACCUGUGGCACUGAUCUGGCCUGGCAGGAUGCCCAGCUCCACAGAGACAGCUCUUUCUGGAGCUCCAAUUGAUGUGAACCUUUGCUCUCAGCCAUCAUCUGCACACAGCCAGGAUUCACAGUAAAUCAGAGGAAAAAUAAAACUGGACGGCUUUCAGUUCCAAUCACAUCUUGUUUUACCUCGCUCCAGCCACUCAGUUAUCGGGAAAUAAUGGAUCUUUAUCUGUGAAACUGAA
This 437-nucleotide long non-coding RNA is filed under the name Rhinopithecus bieti (black snub-nosed monkey). RNAcentral's name for it is "lncRNA (ENSRBIG00000045775.1)". Lineage: Eukaryota; Metazoa; Chordata; Mammalia; Primates; Cercopithecidae. The record is from RNAcentral.